GACGAACGCUGGCGGCGUGCUUAACACAUGCAAGUCGAACGGAAAGGCCCUGCUUUUGUGGGGUGCUCGAGUGGCGAACGGGUGAGUAACACGUGAGUAACCUGCCCUUGACUUUGGGAUAACUUCAGGAAACUGGGGCUAAUACCGGAUAGGAGCUCCUGCUGCAUGGUGGGGGUUGGAAAGUUUCGGCGGUUGGGGAUGGACUCGCGGCUUAUCAGCUUGUUGGUGGGGUAGUGGCUUACCAAGGCUUUGACGGGUAGCCGGCCUGGGAGGGUGACCGGCCACAUUGGGACUGAGAUACGGCCCAGACGCCUACGGGAGGCAGGAGGGGGGAAUAUUGCACAAAGGGCGGAAGCCUGAUGCAGCAACGCCGCGUGCGGGAGGACGGCCUUCGGGUUGUAAACCGCUUUCGCCUGUGACGAAGCGUGAGUGACGGUAAUGGGUAAAGAAGCACCGGCUAACUACGU
RNAcentral lists this ribosomal RNA (467 nucleotides) under uncultured bacterium. Its description in RNAcentral is "partial 16S ribosomal RNA". It matches the Rfam family "Bacterial small subunit ribosomal RNA", at positions 28 to 506 of the family's 1533-position model. The record is from RNAcentral.